UGCUGGUAAGGUCAGUGGGUGCAAGGGAAAGGACUUGGCCUUUCAAGGGUGCCCCACACUCUGCACAAAGACCCUCCAGCCGCUGGUCCCUGCUGGCACCAUUGCCUCCCUCUAGGUGGUCUGGGCUGCUGAGGGCAGAUGUGGACGGGAUCCCACAGCCCCGGGACUGGCUCGCCGUGUUCUCUUUCCCAGGGCCUUAGGGCCGAAGCUUGGAUACGGCCUGGUCAUCUCCCGCACCUCCCCACCGGCAGCAGCUUCACCGCCACCCUCCAGAGUCCCUAGCCGCCCAACUCAGCAACUCGGGCACAAGACAGUCACCGGCUGGGUGAAUGGCUCUUCCAGACACAGAGACAGCUCCAGACAGGAGACAGGAACUGGCCGAGGCUUCAGUCUCCUGCUUUGGCACUUGUGAGACUUUUCACCUGCACCAACGUGGCCCCAGCACCUCCCACCGCCGGCCAGUGAGGCGAGCCAGCUGCUUGAGUGUCCAGAGGCUGCUCCCCGCCCAGCCUGCCUUGCUGUGUGCCCACAAGCCUGAUGGCCCAGAGACGUUUGUCAGAGGAAUGCCUGACGGCGUGAGUGAGCGGACGUCUUCCUCCGUGAAUUGCCUUGCUGCCUACGGAGGCAGGACCAGAGGCUCCCUACCUGGCUGUCGGAACUAUGGGACGAUAGGGUGGCCCACUGUGUCCACCCCACCACCUCCCG
RNAcentral lists this long non-coding RNA (705 nucleotides) under Aotus nancymaae (Ma's night monkey). RNAcentral's name for it is "lncRNA (ENSANAG00000038880.1)". Lineage: Eukaryota; Metazoa; Chordata; Mammalia; Primates; Aotidae. The record is from RNAcentral.